Molecule: RNA transcript, 5378 nt
Organism: Columba livia (rock pigeon)
Lineage: Eukaryota; Metazoa; Chordata; Aves; Columbiformes; Columbidae
Gene: SHISAL1
Gene name: shisa like 1
Exons: 6
Source: RefSeq, a predicted model, not a curated record
GGGAAGCAGGCGGGGAUAGGAGAGCUGCAAAAGGAGGUGGCGGCUCCUGAGCACCGGCGCCUCGCCCCUCAGUGAAGCACCGCCGCUCCCUGAGGCUGAUGGUGCUGCCGACCCGGGCGCCGUUACUGUCCUCCGCUCCGCGUGAGCGGCGUUUUCCUUCGGGGCUUCGCCGCGCAACUGCUGGGAAAAGUGGCUGUGCCCCUAGAGCGACUUAGCGCAAGGUAAUUCUCUAAUGGACCAAUGAAAGCCAACGAUGACAAGUUGUGGUCAACAUUCCUUGAAUGUGCUGAUGGUUCUGCUUUCAUUACUCUUGUCAGCAGUGUUGUCUGCACAUUUUCGGGUCUGUGAGCCAUAUACGGACUACAAAGGUCGCUACCACUUUGGUUUUCACUGCCCCCGUCUUUCUGACAAUAAAUCUUACAUCUUUUGCUGUCACCAUAACAACACAGUAUUUAAAUACUGCUGCAAUGAGACAGAAUUUCAGACUGUUAUGCAGAUGAACUUAACAGGGAACGCAGAUGGAUAUAUGCAUAACAACUACAGUGCACUGUUAGGAGUGUGGAUCUAUGGCUUUUUUGUGGUGAUCUUGCUGGUAUUGGACCUUUUAUAUUACUCUUCAAUGAACUAUGAUAUUUGCAAAUUUUACCUGGCACGGUGGGGAAUCCAGGGAAAGUGGAUGACACAGGGACAGAGCCGAUGGAUUAAUCCUGCUCAGGACCCAAGCCAAGUACAGACACAGCCUCAGCCAGAGACACAGCCUCAAACUCAGCCACAGCCUCAAACGUCACAGACAGUACAUACUUUAAAAGGAGAUGCUUUAAGCCCACCCCUGAUGUCGUUUCAGAGUACAUCUGCCUGUAUGGAAACCAUCUGAGGGCUGUCCAAAGGCCUGUGUGGUCUGAAGGUCCUGGUGGAUGUACCUUCUACAACCCAAACACCGUCACAGACUGCAAGUGAAUAAUCUUAACUGUUGUGGUGGUUCCUCCAGGUCAUCGCUGAGGUGCAUGAGCUGGGCCCCUCCAUGCUCACUGGUCCAUGUAAGAACCUACAGUCUGGUUAGCCUGGCCAAACUUCUAACAGCUGGAGAUCAAACAGCAACAAACAGGAGGCAAAUUGUUACUACUGCUCAACAAAAUACAAACCAGAAAUAUUGUAAGUUGAGGAAUCAAAAUCCUGACUACUGAAAAAACUUGUUCUCACAACCACUGGAUUGUUGUUAAUAACAACUAAAAAAGGUCAGACUAGCAAGGAAGAUCACAGAAGAGGGAGUGUGGGCCAGGGCAGCCUGGCAGAGUUUCUCCAGAUUCUCCGUGACCGUGAUGUGUUCCAGAUGUGACAGCGGAAGAGAUGAACAUGAUCUCUCUGCCUUGCUCUGAUGAUGUUAAGCUCCUCUCCACCUCUAUCAAGGAUGCAAAUCACAGGGAACACUGUCUUGAAGUCUAAUUUUUGACACUCUGUUCCCUGCCUUUCUGCACAACAGCACAGAGAGGCAAUGUCUGCACUGUAUGUGAUCAUAUAUGUUAUGCUACAUGACUCUCAGUUUCAGAAACCUGCUGUUGUCCAGAAGCAGGAAUAGUAUCAGCCCAGCAGGAAAAUUAUAUUUAUGUGCCUCAAGAUGGGAGAGGUAAGAUCCAACCUGAAGGAGCAGCUUCCAAGAAAAUCAACUAAAUAACAAGAGCUGAGAAAAUGAUGAAUAAUCAGAAGACAGAAAGACAGAGAGGUUGAGCAAGUCACCUAAAGAGAAACACCAUCCAGACAACUUCUAUAGAAAAAUUAUAUAGAAGAAGAAACUAGUCUGUAAGCAAUAUUUUAAUUCUAGACCGACAAUAUUCUUUCUGAAAGAAAUCAUCAUAUUUGAGGAAAUGCUAAAGAGGAAGAAAAUUGAGUUGCUCUGGCAAAUCCACAAAAAUGUGGAAAAAGAUCACAAGACAAACCUUUGGUAGAUAACUUUUACUUUGCCUCCCCAUCCAUCUAUUGCCAUUUGAGCCUAAUGUAAGUGUCAGAAUACUGAAUGUGAGUUUUUCCAAAGUUCUCUGGUGAAUAUUUUGUCACAAUAGGGUAGAUGCUGGCAAUCCCCAUCGCUGUUAACUAAAUUGUUGUAUACAUCACAAGGUAAGUGAAGCUCUUUCAUUGAGUCAAACUGCAGGGUAGCAAUCAUGUAAACCUUAAUACGCCUUUUAAGAUCAUUUGCAAUGAUUCCACUAAGAUGUCAAACAUCUGAGCACAUCUUGGCUUCAGCUUCACACACCCUCCUGAAGAGGGAAGCUUUAUUAAGAAGUGACACAGGCACCCCAUUCCACCCCAUAGUCCUUGAAGAUGAAAGAGAAACAGAAGAAAAUCAACAAACUAUAUGUUUCAAGAGCAAUAAUACACUUGUCCCACUGCUUUACAAGGCAAUAAUCUAAUUCCCUCAGCCACUGAUUGGCUUCAGAAUUUACCCCUCACAAAUCUAAGAAUUCAUUUGUAGGCCAGAAGGGUAACAAUGCUACCACAGAAGUAUGUGGAGUACUUAGUCACAAGGUUGCAAUAGCUUGACUUAACUUUCUACAGGACAGGUGCCAAAUUAGUCCUUCAUGCCUAAUAUUUUGUCCUGCAAAUCUGAACAACUUAAAAACAACUACAUAUUUUACUGCAUAACCAACACGAGGAACACCUUGUCAACAAACAAUCAAGUUUUCCUUUUGUACUACUUUGAUUUGAGUGCAGUUGAGUCUUCUGUUGAACUUGAAAGGGAUAGACUUCUGAGUGAUUUAAGCUAAUUCACAGCUACCAGAGCAGAGUGCAUGAUGGCACAUGUCUAAAGCCACAAAGGAUUAAAUAGUACUGGGUGAGCCAACAAGGCUGGAGACCACAGGAGUGCCCAGUCUUCACAAAAGGCCUAGUCUGUGUAGGAUACCAAGCUGCUCAUGCCCCUUUUCUUUACAAUCGAACUAGUAAAAGAUGUUGAGUAUUACUGAGUAAGGGCAGGCAACAGCUAAUAAAAAAGAAUUCAAGUGCCACAGGUGGGAGUGCCACCCUGCAGGCAUUGAGCUCCAUCCUGUCCUGUGUAAGCAAAAGGCCUGGCCUCUCCUCACAGAAGCUCCUGCAUAAGCACCUCUACAUGCAACUCAGUUUGCAGAGCUGCUGCAAUGCAGCUGGGUUGUUCUACAUUGUGAGAAAAAUAGCACUUCUGAUAAAAUGGAGUCAGUAUUUUUUUCCACCUUGAUUCACACUAAACCGAAGAUUCUAGUUUUCUAAAAAGAACAUUUCAUCAGAUCACUGCAGCACCAUUCAAAACACUUCAGCUGAGAACAAAAAGGACCUACAGCCAAGACUUGCUGUAAAGUAGCUUGCAGAUACUGUAGACAGUGCAAACUCCUCUCUCCUUGAUGAUGAGAGCUUCAGCAGGGAAAGGGUCAGUGCUCCUGAUGGUGGGGAAAUUGAUCCUAUGAGAUGUAAGGUGGUGCUGUAAGUGCCAGCUUGCAAGAAAAGCAAAAGAAACCAGGUAGCUGUAAGCAAUGCCAUCCAUGCCUCUGCCAGCAUCACAUCCUCUCCACACUCCCACGUCAGCUCCAAGAUCCAUAACCCCUGCAAAUACCUGACAAAGUCUGUAUCUACAGCAAUCAGUCUUACCUUGGCGCUUAGCAGUAACUGUUUGCUCCUUUUACUUUCUGCCAGCACCUGCUGUCUUUGUGAGGUGAUAACUGCCACAGAGAGCUUUGUAAAAAGCUUAUGUUCAUGAAGGAAUUUGUAUUAGAUACUGGUUUGUGUGACUUACUGUAUUUUGUAAGGGUUUUUUUCCCUUUGGGAAUUGUGUGUUAUUAAUGAGCAGUUUUAUGCUUUACUUCUAGUACAUGUAUACCUUGUAGUUGAUGUGCUUUUUGUUUGUUUGCUUUCUUUUAUUCUCGGUACAGAGCCAGUUAAUGUAAAGUAGAUACUUUCUGGCUGAAAUUCUGAUUUUGUCUACUAGUUAAUUUAUGGAUAAAUCUAUGUUGUAGCUGAUGAACAAUUGUUCAUCAAUUGUAUUGUUAUAAUCGUCUGAGAGCCUCUCUAGUUUAGCAGAAUGUAGGAUCCUGAACAAGACUAAUGCUUGUUGGGCCUUAAACUAAGGGGAAAUAGCUCACCACGUUUCCCUACCACCAUUGCUAUCGGCCCUUCUCCCCUAGCAUUUGGGACAUUGUAGAAGAGCACUGGGUAGAUAAACAGUCACCUGAACAUCUCAACCAUCUAUGUAGUGGUGCUCCGAUAUCCCUCUGCCUUUACCUAAUCAAAAUUAUGGUGGACCAGAUAAACUGCAAUGAAUUCUUCAAUUAUUUCUGCAGAAAGAGACUGGUUCGAAGACAAUAUAUCUCUAAAAUAAAAGACCUGGACUAAGAUAUAUUUUUCUCUAUGCCCAUCCUGAUAUAGUUGGAAAAAUAAAGGAUAUGAAAUUAACAUUUACAGAAGUGUAUAAUUCCCUUGCACACCCUGUUUAACAAUGGCAGAUGUCUGUCUCAGUAGCUAUUAAUGACCUUUGUGCUCCAGAAGCUCCCUUCCUUGUCCAGCUAAUUUUCUCUCUUCAGUUUUACCGAGAACUGAGUGUCCAACUUACUAAUAAUUGCUGUGUAUAACAUAGGACAUAAAAAGAUAAGUUAUAAAGCUUGUGCAGGACUUGGUGUUGUAAUUAACCAUCUUUCGUGCCUGGUUAUCGGUCUUACAAAAGCACAGAGUAAAAACAAUCUGGCCUCUUAAUGUGUACUUCAGCAUAUUGUAGCAGCUAUUUUAGAUGAUAACUGUUUUUAAUAGUUUUAUUAUGGCUGUAAUUUGUAUAUGAGGACUGUCCACCUGAAGAAGCAAUGAAGUAACAUGUCAAAGUGAUUUUUAAAGUCAGUAACCUCACCCACUUGCUAGGAAGAAGCAUCUUUUCUCAACUUCGAAAAUUCUCUUGUAUAAGACAGGUAUUUAUCCUAGUCCUUUUGCAUAAAUAGUAAAUUAGUAAGAAGAUAAUAUAUACAGUACAAUAGUCUAUUUUAAUGGUCUGCAGUCAAAUUUUAGGCUAAUUAAGCUAACUAGAAAUUCUAGGGUUACAGUGAUUUAUCAUUCUUUAUUAAUACAUUGACAGUAAUACUGUUUACAUAACAUUUGAUGUUUGAAAUCAAUACAUGCCGGUGUCCAGUGAUUUGCUAAUCUAAUUUCUGAUCAAAUCCUGUCCUAUUUUUUGCAGCAUUAUCUAACUUCAUAUUAAGAAUCAUGUUGUCUUUCUAAAGUGAUUGCCAAGUAAACCAAAAAUGUGUUUUACACUGCUAUUGCACUGCUCUUGUCUUUAUAUACAGUAGUUUUUAUAAAGAUGUCCUUAGGUUUUAAUAAAUGAGUGUAACGUAAACUAAUAUCUGUAAUAAAACUUGCUUUAAUGUUUCAAA